Molecule: ribosomal RNA, 858 nt
Filed under: uncultured Actinomycetes bacterium
Lineage: Bacteria; Bacillati; Actinomycetota; Actinomycetes
Description: bacterial SSU rRNA
Rfam family: Bacterial small subunit ribosomal RNA
Source: RNAcentral
GACGAACGCUGGCGGCGUGCUUAACACAUGCAAGUCGAACGGAAAGGCCUGCAGCUUGCUGCGGGUACUCGAGUGGCGAACGGGUGAGUAACACGUGGGUGAUCUGCCUUGCACUUCGGGAUAAGCUUGGGAAACUGGGUCUAAUACCGGAUAGGACAGCUGUUUAGUGUCAGUUGUGGAAAGUUUUUUCGGUGCAAGAUGAGCUCGCGGCCUAUCAGCUUGUUGGUGGGGUAAUGGCCUACCAAGGCGUCGACGGGUAGCCGGCCUGAGAGGGUGUACGGCCACAUUGGGACUGAGAUACGGCCCAGACUCCUACGGGAGGCAGCAGUGGGGAAUAUUGCACAAUGGGCGGAAGCCUGAUGCAGCGACGCCGCGUGGGGGAUGAAGGCCUUCGGGUUGUAAACUCCUUUCGACAGGGACGAAGCGUAAGUGACGGUACCUGUAUAAGAAGCACCGGCUAACUACGUGCCAGCAGCCGCGGUAAUACGUAGGGUGCGAGCGUUGUCCGGAAUUACUGGGCGUAAAGAGCUCGUAGGUGGUUUGUCGCGUCGUCUGUGAAAUUCCGGGGCUUAACUCCGGGCGUGCAGGCGAUACGGGCUGACUUGAGUGCUGUAGGGGAGACUGGAAUUCCUGGUGUAGCGGUGAAAUGCGCAGAUAUCAGGAGGAACACCGAUGGCGAAGGCAGGUCUCUGGGCAGUAACUGACGCUGAGGAGCGAAAGCAUGGGUAGCGAACAGGAUUAGAUACCCUGGUAGUCCAUGCCGUAAACGGUGGGCGCUAGGUGUAGGGGGCUUCCACGUCUUCUGUGCCGUAGCUAACGCAUUAAGCGCCCCGCCUGGGGAGUACGGGCCGCAGGCUA